This is an RNA transcript of Panicum virgatum (switchgrass), 2461 nucleotides long. RefSeq lists it as uncharacterized. Lineage: Eukaryota; Viridiplantae; Streptophyta; Magnoliopsida; Poales; Poaceae. The record is from RefSeq and is a predicted model, not a curated record. The transcript has 10 exons.
CGCGCCUCUCCGCUUCCCCGCCGCGAUACCCACCCCACUAAUCACGCCCUCUCCAUCCCCGUCGCUCCUCCCUUCCCCAUCCGCACCAUCCGCUAAUCCGCAUCGUGCUGCCCUUCCCAUGCUCUCUCCUCCUCCGCCCGACCGCCCCCAUGCGCUUUGCCUCCGCAGGGAGGAGGUUCUCCUUCGGGGAUGGCAGUGCCGCGACCGGGGACGCGCACGCUGAGCAAGGGAGCGUGGAGAUGGAGGCGGAUCGGGGAUGGGAUCGCGUAGAUGGACGCGUGCAUCGCGCGGAGAUGGGGUCGGCCGGGGGUGUUAGCGACGGCGACUGCUUCUCUCCGGUAAUCUUGUCUCCAUCCUCCAUCCAUCGGACCAUCCCCAUCGUGGCGCAUCGGGCUCGCAGGGACGGCGGCGGCGCACGGCGGGUCAGUCCUGCGGCGGGUGACCGCGGGCGAGGCGAGGCGCCGGCGAGCGGCAGGCGGCCCGCGGCCCGUGCACAGCCCGGCCGUCGCACAGCACACCUGCGCGCGGCGCGGCUGGGCGCGUGGCAGGCGGCAGCAGUGCGGCGCUGCCGUGCUGCAGCAGUGGAGGUACAGGCGUGCAGGCGUGUAGCUGCAGGCAGGGGCCGCAGUGCUGCAGCAGUGCUGGUAGCUUGGUCCUAAAAGCCAAAGCCCAGCAUUGUUUCAGAUUUCUAUUGGUUUUGCUAAAGGGGACGUCGAUGUCCAGAUUACCAAGUUCACAAGCCUUGUGCCAAUCGACUUGAAGUUCGGAGCGUCACUAAUCAUACUAAAUGUUUGUGCCUAUAUAUGUUGAUAUAGAUUGUGGAGAGGCAUGCUAGGAACACUUGAAGGUGCGUACCACACGGUUAUCACUUGAAGCUUUGCUCUUGCUUCGUCUACGCCCGUGUGAUGACCAACUUAACCAUGCCGUGCAGCCUACUCAGCUACGAAUCUCUUGUGCUCUGUAUUAAAGGUUGACUUCAUACCAAACUUUGAUAACUCACAGAGGGAGCCAUCUCUGCUGCUGGCUCGUGUUCCAUCUCUAUUGUUGAAUGGUUCUUCUGGGAUUGCGGUCGGAAUGGCAACAAACAUUCCUCCUCACAAUCUGGGGGAGCUUGUUGAUGCACUUUCUGUUAUAAUUCAAAAGCCUAAAGCCACAAACCACCCAGCGGCUGAGGUUGCUGCUCUGCCUCCGCCGGCCACCACCGACACCGAGGAGGAUCGCGCAGCGGCCGCCACACCAGCCGACAAUGAUCCCUCCAUCACAGUACCGUAGGAAGAUUGAAAAAUAGCAGACUAAAGUAGAGAAAUGGUUUGAGAUAUGUGGCAUAACGAUGCCUAACAUCAAACAGGGGAUGUUCUAAUACAUAUUUUUGCUUACUAUGAGAAGAAGGUUUCAAUAUAUUUACAAACUAAUUGAUCAGUCCUUCAGAGGCUUCCAGGUUCAGCCGUGGUCAUCACGAGUACAAGCUGAUAAGAGCAACAACCGUAUGGAGCAUUACAGAUUUGGAGAGGAAGGUUGUUUGUUCUUCCUGCCGUUCCAAGAAGAUCUGGAGAGGAAGGCUGAGGUGCUCGAGAAGAAAAUAUUUCUACUUUGGGGCCAUGUAAAUCACAGAAUCAAGUUAGCAUAAAUUAUUUGGAGCUCAUGGUUCUUUUUUGGACUAAUUUCAGGUUUCCACACUGAUACAACAUGAUUGACUAAUUUCAGGUUUGAUUUGGUUAUUCUAUUCUCUUCUCGAUUUAAUGAAUGCUUUGAUAUUUUCCGCUAAUUAAAGAUGGGUUGUGAUUGAUCCAGGAAGAGUAUUAGUGAUGGGUUUAAAUACUAUUAUACUAAGACCUUAGCUAAGUUAUCUCUAUAUAAAUGGAGGUUUUUUCCUUUGGGUGUUUUUUCAUUCAUUAAGUUCAGCUUUUUUAUUGCUGUAUGUACCAAGCUGAAUGCCAUACAUGAGCUCCAAUAUGUCUGUUCUAAGAGAUUUACCUGAUAAUACUAUAUGCCAAUAUCAAGUUAUUUUUGGUACAGUCAAGGACACAGUUAGAAUGCUUGCAUGGUAGAGCUGACGAGUUCAGGCAAUAUGGCUACAAUGCAGUCCUUAUGCAAUCUGAUUCUGUCAACAGAAGGCACUGCAAGAUCCCAGAACAAGACGCUCGAGAAACGGGAUCGGCGGCAGCAAGGACACGAGGGCCGGAGGGGAGGAGCAACCAGAUGAGGUGCGUGGUCAAGCAAUCCCCUUUAGUUCAUGACCGCAGGCUAGGCGUCUGAACAAUAGGCGUCCGAACAAACAAACUGAGCUGUAAAGGUGUAAAGGGUAGCCUAGACAAUCCUGUAAUUGUGUUUGAUGGGAUGGCUUGUCCAAAGUUAAACGAAAGAAUCAAUAUUGUUGUCUCUUUGUAAUCGCAUUGAAUCGUCUCUUUGGGCGGUUGUAAUACUUCAUUCGGAAGGGUAUUCUUCAUCAGCAGGUUGCUCA